This 216-nucleotide ribosomal RNA is filed under the name Glomeromycotina sp. RNAcentral describes it as "partial small subunit ribosomal RNA". The stretch from base 87 to 216 matches the Rfam family "Eukaryotic small subunit ribosomal RNA", at positions 733 to 864 of the family's 1831-position model. Lineage: Eukaryota; Fungi; Glomeromycota. The record is from RNAcentral.
GGGUCAGUAGGUUGGUCGUGCCACCGGUACGUACUGGUCCCACUGAUUCCUCCUUCCUGAAGAACCGUAAUGCCAUUAAUUCGGUGUUGCGGGGAAACAGGACUGUUACUUUGAAAAAAUUAGAGUGUUUAGAGCAAGCUAACGCUUGAAUACAUUAGCAUGGAAUAAUGAAAUAGGACGAUCGAUCCUAUUUUGUUGGUUUCUAGGAUUGACGUA